GGUUCCAGCAGCUUCUAGACAGCCUCGGGCAGUUCGGGCUCAGUUUGAACUUUGCACUCGACCUUUCUCCAUCGAUCCAUCCUCACAGGAGUCUUCCGCUAUGUUCAUCAGUCCCAUUUUUGGGGAAGAACUUGGUGGUGCCCAGAUCCAGGAAACGUUGGAGGUGUUUAUAUAUACUUGGCUGGCGAUAAUGAACGACGAAUUUGUGAAGUGCAGGAACCUUUAUCAACUAACAUUGCAAAGCAGAGGAUAAGGCAUGACUAAUCACAGAGAGGAAAGAGUGAACAUGAUGGAGAAGAACAAGCAGGCACAAGUUUCAGGCUAGAGGUGACAUGACAUACAUGAGAGAGAGAGAGAGAGAGAGAGAGAGAGAGAGAGAGAGAGAGAGAGAGAGAGAGAGAGAGAGAGAGAGAGAGAGAGAGAGAGAGAGAGAGA
Portunus trituberculatus (swimming crab) is the source of this 435-nucleotide long non-coding RNA. RefSeq lists it as uncharacterized. Lineage: Eukaryota; Metazoa; Arthropoda; Malacostraca; Decapoda; Portunidae. The record is from RefSeq and is a predicted model, not a curated record. The transcript has 2 exons.